CCGCAGCCGGAGGAGCCCAAG
Molecule: small nuclear RNA, 21 nt
Filed under: Arabidopsis thaliana (thale cress)
Lineage: Eukaryota; Viridiplantae; Streptophyta; Magnoliopsida; Brassicales; Brassicaceae
Description: snRNA_03235
Source: RNAcentral